This 634-nucleotide ribosomal RNA is filed under the name uncultured bacterium. Its description in RNAcentral is "bacterial SSU rRNA". It matches the Rfam family "Bacterial small subunit ribosomal RNA", at positions 159 to 809 of the family's 1533-position model. The record is from RNAcentral.
AACGCUAAUACCGCAUAAGACCACACUUCCACAUGGGAGAGGGGUCAAAGGAGCAAUCCGCUGAAAGAUGGGCUCGCGUCCGAUUAGAUAGUUGGGGGGGUAACGGCCCACCAAGUCGACGAUCGGUAGCCGGACUGAGAGGUUGAACGGCCACAUUGGGACUGAGACACGGCCCAGACUCCUACGGGAGGCAGCAGUGAGGGAUAUUGGUCAAUGGGGGAAACCCUGAACCAGCAACGCCGCGUGAGGGAAGACGGUUUUCGGAUUGUAAACCUCUGUCCUCUGUGAAGAUAAUGACGGUAGCAGAGGAGGAAGCUCCGGCUAACUACGUGCCAGCAGCCGCGGUAAUACGUAGGGAGCGAGCGUUGUCCGGAUUUACUGGGUGUAAAGGGUGCGUAGGCGGGUAAGCAAGUCAGAAGUGAAAUCCAUGGGCUUAACCCAUGAACUGCUUUUGAAACUGUUUAUCUUGAGUGAAGUAGAGGUAGGCGGAAUUCCCGGUGUAGCGGUGAAAUGCGUAGAGAUCGGGAGGAACACCAGUGGCGAAGGCGGCCUACUGGGCUUUAACUGACGCUGAAGCACGAAAGCGUGGGUAGCAAACAGGAUUAGAUACCCUGGUAGUCCAUGCCGUAAACGA